GAAGGGAAGCUGUCCCAAUGGCCUCAGAAGCACCAAGUGAGGAUGCAGAACAUGCAGCUGAGCCUCCUGCAGCUCCUGUGCAGGGGGACAGGACAUUCCAGUGGGGAGCCAUCCUUGCUGCAGUGAAAGACCAGCUCCCAUCCCUGGACUCUGACUCCUCCACAUCAGACUGUGAGAGUGAUGAGGAGCUUUUCAUCUUCCAGCGGGACCUGCCCAACUUAAUUCCGGACCUGUCGGAGGAACUGAUGAUGUUUUCCCUGGAAGAUUCCCAGGAGCAGCAAAUCCAGGAGACAGAAAGAGUUCCAUGGGAGAUCUGGAACGAAGACCUGGAAAGUUUUGACUUUGAGGAAGAAACAGAUGGUGCCCAAAUCAUUGCAAAAGAAGAUGUACAAAUGAUUAAAGAUGAGGCUCCUGAACCUGCCAGCCAGACUGAAGAAAUGCCAAGCCAAAAGAGAGCUGUUCUUGAAGAGUCACCCUCAGAUUCCACAGAUCACCUUGAGGAGAAAGAAAUGGGCAGGACACAGGCCAAGGAAAGAGCAAACUCCUGGCCUAACCCAGCAGUGUCUGUGCAAGAGCUGUACACUAAAGAGGAGAGAAAAAAGCUGAUAGAGACAAAGAUACUCUCCAAGAUCCUUGUGGAGCCAUCCCCAAAGCAGGAUGUCAAGC
This 666-nucleotide long non-coding RNA is filed under the name Serinus canaria (Common canary). Its description in RNAcentral is "lncRNA (ENSSCAG00000012641.1)". Lineage: Eukaryota; Metazoa; Chordata; Aves; Passeriformes; Fringillidae. The record is from RNAcentral.